Molecule: ribosomal RNA, 473 nt
Filed under: uncultured bacterium
Lineage: Bacteria
Description: bacterial SSU rRNA
Rfam family: Bacterial small subunit ribosomal RNA
Source: RNAcentral
AACUAACGCUGGCGGCGCGCCUAAUACAUGCAAGUCGAACGAUGUAGCAAUACAUAGUGGCGCACGGGAGAGUAACACGUGGAUAAUCUCCCCUCGAGAGAAGAAUAACUAGUCGAAAGAUUGGCUAAUACUUCGUAAGACCACAGAAACAAAUGUUUCAGGGGUAAAAGUCGUAAGACGCUUGAGGAUGAGUCUGCGUCCCAUUAGCUAGUUGGUGAGGUAAUGGCUCACCAAGGCUUCGAUGGGUAGCUGGUCUGAGAGGAUGAUCAGCCUCACUGGAACUGACACACGGUCCAGACUCCUACGGGAGGCAGCAGUAGGGAAUAUUGCACAAUGGAGGAAACUCUGAUGCAGCGACGCCGCGUGAGUGAUGAAGGACUUCGGUUUGUAAAGCUCUGUUGUCAGGGAAUAAAAAAAUGAAUGUACCUGACGAGAAAGGACCGGCUAACUUCGUAGCCAGCAGCCGCGGUAAU